UACGGAGGGUGCAAGCGUUAAUCGGAAUUACUGGGCGUAAAGCGCACGCAGGCGGUUUGUUAAGUCAGAUGUGAAAUCCCCGAGCUUAACUUGGGAACUGCAUUUGAAACUGGCAAGCUAGAGUCUUGUAGAGGGGGGUAGAAUUCCAGGUGUAGCGGUGAAAUGCGUAGAGAUCUGGAGGAAUACCGGUGGCGAAGGCGGCCCCCUGGACAAAGACUGACGCUCAGGUGCGAAAGCGUGGGGAGCAA
This 248-nucleotide ribosomal RNA is filed under the name Enterobacteriaceae bacterium. Its description in RNAcentral is "partial 16S ribosomal RNA". It matches the Rfam family "Bacterial small subunit ribosomal RNA", at positions 524 to 771 of the family's 1533-position model. Lineage: Bacteria; Pseudomonadati; Pseudomonadota; Gammaproteobacteria; Enterobacterales; Enterobacteriaceae. The record is from RNAcentral.